RNAcentral lists this long non-coding RNA (3019 nucleotides) under Homo sapiens (human). RNAcentral's name for it is "HSALNT0371005". Lineage: Eukaryota; Metazoa; Chordata; Mammalia; Primates; Hominidae. The record is from RNAcentral.
UUUGUCUCAAAAAAAUACCAAAAACCAAAAACAACAAAAACAAAAAACAUCAAAAGACUAUGAGAAACAGUGAUUGGAUGUUUGGGGUGUGGAUAUCGGAAUCUGGAGCUGGGGACAGGUGUGUCAUUUGAUAGUCCCUUUUGAGAACCACUGUUGAUCUAAAGCUAUUCCAGUUCCCUAGGGGAUUGCUAAUAACCGGUGCAGCUGCUGAGACAGGGAAAGGGGCCUAAUUCCUUUUGCAAAACAAGGAGCAAUAUUUAUAUGAGAACUCAGUACAUUUCAUCACAUAAAAAUUGCAAAACGCCAGGCUCUGUCAUUUUUAAACUAAUAUUUUUGGGAGUCCACCAAACAGUCUCUAAGAUGGAACUGAUUGUGAAUAUGCUGGUGCCAGGUGCAAUGGCUCACACCUGUAAUCCCAGCUACUUGGGAGGCUGAGGUGGGAGGAUCACCUGAAGCCAGGAGUUCGAGGCCAGCCUGGGCCUCUCUAAAAAAAAAAAAGCUGUAAGUCAAAUGAUAUAGCCUCUAGAAGCCACAGUUUGCUCAUUUACAAACUGGAGGAGAAUAAGAUGAGAAUUGUCUGAUAUUGAGGAUCAGAAAGUGCUUCAUGAUGCAUAAAGCAGGUAAUGGAUUAUCAAUGCUUUGCUGCUCAGACACACAGCAAUGGGUUCAUACCAUUCUGAGAGUCUAAAUUUAGGACGUGGUGUGACCAAAAUUACCAGUAAUUAAGUUUCUUAUGUUUCUGAGGCUCUGCUUCCUCAUCUGUACACUGUGGCAAGACCUUGUUCUGACUAUGCACUGAGGAUAAAAUAAGGCCUUUUGAAAAAGAUGAUGACACUGACCACUAAUUAAUGAUUUCAAUGUUCCCGUCCAAGGUCAGGCAAAAGCAAUGCAGAGCCAUAGAGAAUGUUGGUGCAACACUGCCCUCUGCUGGUCAGUAGCAGCACCACCAUGGUUACAGAGAGGAAAAGGUCUUUACAAAGGGAUUCCUGGGAAACUGAGGCAGAGAGUGGAAGGGAUUUGCUCAAGGGCACAGAGUUAGCUUUGGACAAAGUGAUGGCUCGAAUCUGAGAUUCCUAAUUCCUAGUUCUUUCUAGAGGGAGAAAAAUAAGGGCUGGAAACUAGUGGAUUGUCGUUUCACUCUCACUAGGCUCUGCACGGCAUUUUAAAUAGGCUGAUUGGAAUUUCUCUCUCCUGUUCUUCCCUUGCCACCCAAACUGCUCGGGUUUCUUGUCCUUUUCUUCAUACCAGGAUAACCAUCUGUGUGGCCCCAUAAGGCCCAAAGUCCUCUUGGGUGCUGCCGGAGGUCCAACAACCAGUAAAGCACGGAAGCUGGGAUCUGAACACUCACUUGAGACCCCAAGGCCCACAAUCUAUUUGCCACCAAAAAACAAGACAAAGCAAAACACCAUGACAGGAAAACCGAGUUGCAGACAAAUGAAAGUGACUUACCUCAGGGCCUUUGCAUGUGACAUCCUCUCUGCCUGGAAUGCUCUUCUCAGAUAUCACCUUGGCAUCCCCCAUCACCUUCUUAAGGUCUUCACUUAAAAGUCAUCAUCUGGCCGGGCGCGGUGGCUCACCCUGUAAUCUCAGCACUUUGGGUAGGCCAAGGACUGGAUCCUGGACCUGCCCCUGGGACUUGCGGAAGGGGACAGCUCAAUCUGAGCCAUAUCAACUGAGAACACAGGAAGCAUGGUCCUACCAAGAGAUGUCUAUUCCAGGUAUGGUGGAGCCUCAGAGGACAGCAUGACUCUCGUUCAGCUGGUGGAUCAGGGAAUGGUCCAAUAAGCCACAGCUGUGGAUAUGAAGAUCUUGUGAAAUCAGUGACCUCUGGGUCAUGUAGAAACCCAGCACAUUCCCACAGGACACAGCCUAGCAGUUGAUCAGAGCAGUAGUUCAUACCUGAGACCCUGGAUUUUCAGACCCUCCCCCAGGCCCCACCAGCCUCUGUCAGUGCCAAGCUGGACGGAACAAACCACAUGAGGUUGGUCAGGCCUCUACCCCAUGGAAAAACACAGAAUGGUGAUUUUUUGCCUGUACAUUCCUGGACAAAUAAAUUCUCUUUUGGGAGCUUUUUCCUGGCUGGGCUAUGUUAUAUGCCUCAGAGCUGCCCAGAUCCCCUGGAAACCCAAAGAUUUCCUUCCAUGUGUAGGACUCAUUCAGCCCCAGCUCAGAGGACUGUUUCAUGGGUACUGGUGGCAGGAAUUCUUGGUUGUCUUCAAUGUCUGGCUCCCUGAUUUUCGGUAGGGAACAUGGUCAGCAGAAUGAGGAUGGCAUUUCCUACCUUCUACUGCAGGUGGGCAGAACCAAGGUGCCCUCCCUACACCUUCCUGGGGCCUCCAGCGAUCCUGAGCUCAGCCUCCUGACCUGCAGACCCCUCAGCUCUGGCCCUCACGUCCUGCUUGCUGUACCUGCUUUAUCCCAUAUCACCAUCUCCAUUCCUCAGCAUAGUGACAAUCCCAGUUCCUACCCAUUCCACUGGCUUCUCCAUUUGGCUUGGAGCUCUUUAGCUGGAUUGAGACGACUACUCUGAUGAGUGCCAUGUCACUGGCUCAACAAAAUGGGCCCAAGUGAGUCAAUGUCAUUGACAUGAAGGUGCUGUCAGUUUGGUGGGAACCAAGGGAAUGAGACUGUGUUUUAGCUGCGUUCGUUUGAACAGUUACACACUUAGGGCUUCUUAUGCGGAUGCUCAGAGAGAAAUAUGGAAGACGAGAUCUCGUAGAAAACAAGAAGACAUGUUGUAAAUGAGUCAGGCCUCCUGGAGUCCAGGACUAGGGAGGAACUCUUUAUUGAGGAUCACUCGAGGGAGUCUUGGGGCUGGUGGUCUUCACGCCACAGCCCCAUAACUCAGCUCCUCUCUUCCUUCUCUCAGUCUCUCUGCUUCUGUUUUUUGUCUCAUGUCCUAAAUGUCCAACUAUUCAGCAUAACUUUAUUCUGCUUCCCCUCUCUAUCCUCUGUAGCAAAAUGCACUGUUGGAAUUACAUUUUUAUUUUUAUUUUUAUUUUUAUUUUUUUAAGACGGA